Molecule: ribosomal RNA, 2951 nt
Filed under: Begonia fuchsioides
Lineage: Eukaryota; Viridiplantae; Streptophyta; Magnoliopsida; Cucurbitales; Begoniaceae
Description: eukaryotic LSU rRNA
Rfam family: Eukaryotic large subunit ribosomal RNA
Source: RNAcentral
GUCAAUGUCGAAGAGAGCUUGCUGAAUUUCAGACAUUGUAAUUGGGUCCGUGAGUAAUUUACGAUCAGAAUUUGAGAGAAUAGGACCAUUACAAAUGGUAUUUGGAUCGGGAUUAGGAAGGACACAUGGGCUGCCGAGGAGACUUGUAGUAUUGCACAAAUUCCUCGUGGACUUGAUCUAUUGAAUCUGAGAGGAGGCCAUUUUGCUUAGUGAUGGAAGGAAUGAAGUUUCUCUUGUGAUUCUUCUUGACAAUCGCAUGGAAGAAUUUGGAGCACUUAUCACUUUCUAGAAUGUAUUUGCUUUUAGCUUUUUGUUGAUAAAAAUGCUUUUCAGGCGAGGCAAGGAGAGAAGAUUGCUUUCCCAAUUCGAGGAUUUUUCAGCCAAAUCUCUAUUACCGAGAGAAGAGUCCAAAAGGGAUUGGGCAUCCUUCAGCUCGGAUUUUGCGCGAUCAGCUCUAGAGGAGAUAUGAGAGAAAUGCUUGAGGUUUAACUCCUUGAGCAUAGGUUUCAAACGAAGAAGUUUGGCCUUAAGCUAAAACUGAUUGGAGCCUUUCGAAGGGAGGCACCACGAAUGAUUAACAAUUUGAAGGAAAUUUGGGUAUGGGGGCAAAAGACUAAUCAAACUGUCUAGUAGCUGGUUCCCUCCGAAGUUUCCCUCAGGAUAGUUGGAGCCCAUGGGCAAGUUCUAUCAUGUAAAGCCAAUGAUUAGAGGCAUUGGGGGCGCAACGCCCUCGACCAAUUCUCAAACUUUAAAUAGGUAGGCCGGCGCGACUGCUUUGUUGAGCCGCGCCACAGAAUCGAGAGCUCUAAGUGGGCAAUUUUUGGUAAGAAGAACUGGAGAUGCGGGAUGAACCGAAAGCCGGUUUACAGUGCCCAACUGUGCGCUAACCUAGAACCCACAAAGGGUGUUGGUCGAUUAAGACAGCAGGACGGUGGUCAUGGAAGUCGAAAUCCGCUAAGGAGUGUGUAACAACUCACCUGCCAAAUAAACUAGCCCCGAAAAUAGAUGGCGCUGAAGCGCGUGACCUAUACCCAGCCGUCGGGGCAAGUACCAGGCCCCGAUGAGUAAGAGGGCGCGGCGGUAGCUGAAAAACCUAGGGCGCAAGCCCUGGCGGAGCGAUCGUCUGUGCAGACCUUAGUUGUAGUAGCAAAUAUUCAAAUAAGAACUUUGAAGGCCGAAGAGGGGAAAGGUUCCAUGUAAACAGCACUUGCACAUGGGUUAGUUGAUCCUAAGACAAAGGACAAUCAUGUCUGAUAGUGCCCGACACGCGAGCAUCGAAAGGGAAUCGGGUUAAAAUUCCUGAACCAGGACGUGGCGGCUGAUGGUAAUGUUUGGGAGUCCGGAGACAUCAUCGGGGACAUCGGGAAGAGUUAUCUUUUCUUUUUAACAACAUGUCCACCAUUGAAACGGCUCAGCCGGAGGUAGGGUCCAGCGGCUGGAAGAGCACCGCACCUCACGCGGUGUCUGGUACGUCCUUGAUGACCCUUGAAAAUUCGGAGGACCGAGUGCCUCCCACGCCAGGUCGUACUCAUAACCGCAUCAGGUCUCCAAGGUGAACAGCCUCUGGUCAAUGGAACAAUGUAGGCAAGGGAAGUCGGAAAAAUGGAUCUGUAACCUCGGGAAAAGGAUUGGCUUUCAGGGUUGGGCACAGGGUUACCCGUCCCGAAUUCGUCCGUUGUCAAUGGACUGCUCGAGCUGCUCUCCCGGAGAGAGCGAGUUGUAGCGUGCCAGCCGGGGGACGGGCUGGGAACGGCUCUUUCGGGGGCCUUCCCUGGGCAUCGACCAGUCGACUCAGAACUUGUACGGACAAGGGGAAUCUGACUGUUUAAUUAAAAAAAACAUUACGAUGGUCCUUACGGAUGCUCACGCAAUGUGAUUUCUGCCCAAAGCUCUGAAUGUCAAAGUGAAGAAAUUCAACCAAGCGCGGGUAAACGGUGGGAGGAACUAUGACUCUCUUAAGGUAGCCAAAUGCCUCGUCAUCUAAUUAGUUAUGCGCAUGAAUGGAUUAACAAGAUUUCCCGUGUCCCUGUCUACUAUCCAGCGAAACCACAGCCAAGGCAACGGGCUUGGCAGAAUCAGCGGGUAAAGAAGACCCUGUUGAGCUUGACUCUAGUCCGACUCUAUGAAAUGACUUGAGAGGUGUAGGAUAAGUGGGAGCCGGAAAUGGAGAAAGUGAAAUACCACUACUUUUAACGUUUGUUUUACUUAUUCCGUGAAUCGGAAGCGGGGCAACGCCCCUCUUUUUGGACCGAAGGCCCGACUCGGCGAGUUGAUCCGAGCAGAAGACAUAGUCAGGUGGGGAGUUUUGCUGUGGCAACACAUCUGUUAAAAGAUAAUGCAGGUGUCCUAAGAUUAGCUCAACGAGAACAAAAAUCUCAUGUGGAACAAAAGGGUAAAAGCUCGUUGGAUUUUGAUUUCCAGUACGAAUACGAACCAUGAAAGCAUGGCCUAUUGAUCCUUUAGACCUUCAAAAUUUGAAGCUAGAGGUGUCAGAAAAGUUACCACAGGGAUAACUUGCUUGUGGCAGCCAAGCAUUCAUAGCGACGUUGCUUUUUGAUUCUUCGAUGUCGGCUCUUACGAUCAUUGUGAAGCAGAAAUCACCAAGUGUUGGAUUGUUCACCCACCAAUAGGGAACAUGAGUUGGGUUUAGACCGUCGUGAGACAGGUUAGUUUUACCCUACUGAUGGCAGCGUCCCAAUAGUAAUUCAACCUAGUACGAGAAGGAACCGUUGAUUUGCACAAUUGAUCAUCGCGCUUGGUUGAAAAGCCAGUGGCGCUUAGCUACUGUGUGCUGGAUUAUGACUGAACGCCUCUAAGUCAGAAUCCCUCGGGUGGCCGAAUGAAGGGCGUAGUCGGUCAAAGAGGAAGGAAGUGAAAGCUCAUGGGAGGGGAUGGACUUUGAAGAGUUUUGGGUUUAAGAUGGCUGGACAAUUCGAUCGCUUGAGCAAACA